ACUUUUCGCGCCUCUUUUCAAAAAGAGCCUGAUAACUGUUAAAUUUCAUGCAUAUUAUUGCUUAAGAGGCUGUCUACGAUAGAACCAUGCAAAACCAAAAAAAUAUUAUGGAAGGUGUUGUCAAAUUUUCAGACCUUUUUAUGAUAUUUCAGAAGUAUUUUACUAGUUAUAUCGUAUUUUGUGGCAAAAUCGAUGAGUACCUCCCGAACUAACACCUAAUGGGCCGUUCUAUUUUUAGCACAAUAUACACAUCAAUUUCACGCAAAAAUGGUGUAUUUUCAGCUAGUCAUUAGAAUAUCAAAAACAGAAUAAUCACAUAUAAUUUCAGUUCCGCAUAGUCUAUUUGAACGGUAUCUUUGAAUUGGUGAACAUAACUUUAAAAUUCAUUCUCCAGAUUUAAGUCGUAUAGUGUUUGAACUAGUAAGAUUAUGUAACUUUCAAAUUAAAUGCUAUUUUUAGUGAGUCAUAAAACCCCAAGAAACGCUUAAAAUAAAUAGUUUCGUGGUUUAAAACACAGAAUUAUGCAUAAAUUAUCACUACUAAACGGGAAUUUGGUUGCAAAUAAAUAGAAAGUCAUUUAUUUGGGGUAUGAAAUUCGGAAAUUUUAUCAAAAAAUUAUCUCCCUUUGUGGAACUCUCAUGGGAAGAAGGUAAGGAAGAAUGAUUCAUAAGGCAGAUGACAACAACAUGGAAUGGGUAGAAAGUGAUGGAAGAUGAAUUUAUAGCCUUGGUGAAAAUUUCAAGGAAAGAGGGUGUUUAUUUACAUCAGGAUUGCAAGAAGUAUACUUCAGCACAAUUGAGGUUUUUAAAUGUCCAUCCGAAAUUGUGAAUUCCAGAAUCUUUGUUCACUGCACUGCACAGCUGGUGUGCAUUAACUAUGAUCUAGACUUAACAGACAUCAUCAUGCCUAUGCCAAUUAUGGACAUUGACUUUGAAUAAAGAACAACAUGUUGUCACCCAUUACAUGACAAAUCUAACUCAGAUGUGAUAGAGGGGGGUUGGGUUGACUCCAAAGCCGAUAGAUCUGCCACAUUGCUCAAGCUGACAACACAUGUUCCAUUGAUUCUGACAAGACAAUGCAUUGAGAAACACAAAAAUUGUGUCCAUAUUAAGACAGAUGUAAAGAAAGAGUUGAAAGAUGUUUCUGAAGUAAGACAGCCAUACCCCUGCUUUCCAAGGAACCAAACAAAUACUUCCCUUGUAUUGACAUGGUGAAAAAUGGGGAGUGUCCAGAAAAUGACAAAGACCUCCAGAAUGUCAUAAGUGAUAUUGUUGCAAUUGAAUGUAACCAAUCAUUAUCCAAUAUAUAUUAUCUAUGACUGAACUCAUCAGUGGUUAAGGAAAACUGUUUUAAUUUUUUAUUCACUGCUUGGAGGUUAUUUUACAUCUCUCAGGAUUUUCUAGAUGUCAGAUUUCCUAAAACUCACAAUUGUGCUUUUUUUUUUUUGUUUUUUUUUUUUUUUGUAUAAAUGUACAGAAAAAUUGAAUGUUCUUCUAUGGGAUAUUUUUGCCAAUAGUUUCAGUUGAAAGUUACAACAACAAAAAAGAAGAAGAAAAAAAGAAUUGCAAUGAUGAAAUCAGUAUGUUUAUAAUGAAAGUGUCUUUCAUGAUCUUGUAUGUGACGCUCAUGAAUUUUUUACAUUACCUGACUUACAGUGUAAUAUCACCCCCCCCCCCCAUUCUUUAUGGCUUUACUUACAAUAAAACUACAUAUGCAGAGUGAAUUUAAAACAUGAGAGAUAUAUCAUAUGUUGUAAUUGCCUGCUGAAUUUGAUAGAAAGCAAAAACGCUUUGAAUACACGAUUCUUGUACAUGGCUACAAUAAAUGUACUAUUUAUUGGUGGAAGGUAAUGGUGGAAGAUGUUUUCAAAAUAACCCCC
This is a long non-coding RNA of Ostrea edulis (European flat oyster), 1879 nucleotides long. RefSeq lists it as uncharacterized. NCBI's taxonomy places the organism in Eukaryota, Metazoa, Mollusca, Bivalvia, Ostreida, Ostreidae. The record is from RefSeq and is a predicted model, not a curated record. The transcript is spliced from 3 exons.